GGGGAACUGAAACAUCUAAGUACCCCGAGGAAAAGAAAUCAACCGAGAUUCCCCCAGUAGCGGCGAGCGAACGGGGAGCAGCCCAGAGCCUGAAUCAGUAUGUGUGUUAGUGGAAGCGUCUGGAAAGGCGCGCGAUACAGGGUGACAGCCCCGUACACAAAAAUGCACAUGCUGUGAGCUCGAUGAGUAGGGCGGGACACGUGGUAUCCUGUCUGAAUAUGGGGGGACCAUCCUCCAAGGCUAAAUACUCCUGACUGACCGAUAGUGAACCAGUACCGUGAGGGAAAGGCGAAAAGAACCCCGGCGAGGGGAGUGAAAAAGAACCUGAAACCGUGUACGUACAAGCAGUGGGAGCACGCUUAGGCGUGUGACUGCGUACCUUUUGUAUAAUGGGUCAGCGACUUAUAUUCUGUAGCAAGGUUAACCGAAUAGGGGAGCCGAAGGGAAACCGAGUCUUAACUGGGCGUUAAGUUGCAGGGUAUAGACCCGAAACCCGGUGAUCUAGCCAUGGGCAGGUUGAAGGUUGGGUAACACUAACUGGAGGACCGAACCGACUAAUGUUGAAAAAUUAGCGGAUGACUUGUGGCUGGGGGUGAAAGGCCAAUCAAACCGGGAGAUAGCUGGUUCUCCCCGAAAGCUAUUUAGGUAGCGCCUCGUGAAUUCAUCUCCGGGGGUAG
RNAcentral lists this ribosomal RNA (677 nucleotides) under Escherichia coli. RNAcentral describes it as "partial 23S ribosomal RNA". It matches the Rfam family "Bacterial large subunit ribosomal RNA", at positions 187 to 905 of the family's 2925-position model. Lineage: Bacteria; Pseudomonadati; Pseudomonadota; Gammaproteobacteria; Enterobacterales; Enterobacteriaceae. The record is from RNAcentral.